This 253-nucleotide ribosomal RNA is filed under the name uncultured bacterium. RNAcentral describes it as "partial 16S ribosomal RNA". It matches the Rfam family "Bacterial small subunit ribosomal RNA", at positions 524 to 776 of the family's 1533-position model. The record is from RNAcentral.
UACGUAGGGAGCAAGCGUUGUCCGGAAUUACUGGGCGUAAAGGGCGCGUAGGUGGGCGCUUAAGUCAGGUGUGAAAACUCCGGGCUCAACCUGGAGACUGCACUUGAAACUGGGUGUCUUGAGGGCAGGAGAGGAAAAUGGAAUUCCUAGUGUAGCGGUGAAAUGCGUAGAUAUUAGGAGGAACACCAGUGGCGAAGGCGACUUUCUGGACUGUACCUGACGCUGAGGCGCGAAAGCGUGGGUAGCGAACGGG